UGGUUCUGGCAUNGAUGAAGAACGCAGCGAAAUGCGAUAAGUAGUGUGAAUUGCAGAAUUCAGUGAAUCAUCGAAUCUUUGAACGCACAUUGCGCCCUUUGGUAUUCCUUAGGGCAUGCCUGUUCGAGCGUCAUAAAACCCCCUCAAGCGCAGCUUGUUGUUGGGCGUUUGUCCCGCACCCCCGCCGGACUCGCCCCGAAUCCAUUGGCGGCCCCCGCAUUGGGCUAUCGAGCGCAGCAGACUUUGCGCCUCGGGCACAACGCGCGGGCGACCAUUGAGUCACCCCCAUCCACUUUGACCUCGGAUCAGGUAGGGAUACCCGCUGA
RNAcentral lists this unclassified non-coding RNA (326 nucleotides) under uncultured fungus. RNAcentral describes it as "partial contains 5.8S ribosomal RNA and internal transcribed spacer 2". The stretch from base 1 to 133 matches the Rfam family "5.8S ribosomal RNA", at positions 22 to 154 of the family's 154-position model. Lineage: Eukaryota; Fungi. The record is from RNAcentral.